RNAcentral lists this ribosomal RNA (490 nucleotides) under uncultured bacterium. RNAcentral's name for it is "partial 16S ribosomal RNA". It matches the Rfam family "Bacterial small subunit ribosomal RNA", at positions 29 to 505 of the family's 1533-position model. The record is from RNAcentral.
AGUGAACGCUGGCGGUAGGCCUAACACAUGCAAGUCGAACGGCAGCACAGUAAGAGCUUGCUCUUACGGGUGGCGAGUGGCGGACGGGUGAGGAAUACAUCGGAAUCUACUUUUUCGUGGGGGAUAACGUAGGGAAACUUACGCUAAUACCGCAUACGACCUACGGGUGAAAGCAGGGGAUCUUCGGACCUUGCGCGAUUGAAUGAGCCGAUGUCGGAUUAGCUAGUUGGCGGGGUAAAGGCCCACCAAGGCGACGAUCCGUAGCUGGUCUGAGAGGAUGAUCAGCCACACUGGCACUGAGACACGGUCCAGACUCCUACGGGAGGCAGCAGUGGGGAAUAUUGGACAAUGGGCGCAAGCCUGAUCCAGCCAUACCGCGUGGGUGAAGAAGGCCUUCGGGUUGUAAAGCCCUUUUGUUGGGAAAGAAAAGCAGCAGGUUAAUACCCCGCUGUUCUGACGGUACCCAAAGAAUAAGCACCGGCUAACUUCG